GUCCGGCUACUAUGCUAUCGGUAGCACGGAGCGCUCCGUGCUACCAAGUUGUUUUCGAUGAUGCGGCUUUCAAAUCGACGAUCGGCUCCGUUAGACUUGAUCUACACUAUUAAAAGUAUUUGGAAACUAAAUUUCAUAAUUUUUCGACAUCAUUUGGCUAGUGAUCAAAAGGUCACAAAAUUGACAAUUUUAAUGGUAGAUGUGACGCGUUUGUGAAUUUAACGGUGUAAAACAAUCCAAAUCUGAUAAAAUUUUAUAGAAAAUUCUUUUCACUAUUUAGAAUAAGAUCAGUACCUCUGAUCUUAAAUUAAAAUCUUUUAUCAUCAUUUUUUAUGAGAUUUUUAUUUUCAGCCCUUCAUGUUUAGACUACUCGUUUGAUAGGUAAAUGAUGCCGAAAAAUUAGAAAAUUUAGUUUCCAAAUACUUUCAAUAGUGUAGAUCAAGUCUAACGGAACCGAUCGUCAAUUUGGAAGCCGCAUCACUGAAAACAAUUUGGUAGCACGGAGGCCUCCGUGCUACCGAUAGUAUACCAGCCUAGCUCUCUCUCUCUCUCUCUCUCUCUCUCUCUCUCUAUAUAUAUAUAUAUAUAUAUAGUUCGAUUGGGAUACUAUUGAUAGCACCAGCAUUCGGUGCUAUCAAGUUUUCCAUCGUUAGAUUUAGAACUAUUUUCACCCAUUAGAUUAUACUAUUAAACUAAUUACUCACUAAACCCUAGGGGGGCCCACAUUACCCUAACUAUAUAUUUUUUCAUCCAAUGACCCAAAAUCUAAUAGCACCAAAUACUUGAUACUAUUGAUAGUAUUCCAACCUAGGUCUAUAUAUAUAUAGA
RNAcentral lists this long non-coding RNA (828 nucleotides) under Ananas comosus (pineapple). RNAcentral's name for it is "long non-coding RNA (ACOM_LNC040115)". The record is from RNAcentral. Lineage: Eukaryota; Viridiplantae; Streptophyta; Magnoliopsida; Poales; Bromeliaceae.